Molecule: non-coding RNA, 130 nt
Organism: Myotis brandtii (Brandt's bat)
Lineage: Eukaryota; Metazoa; Chordata; Mammalia; Chiroptera; Vespertilionidae
Source: Rfam
UGGGAGGCCGACACACAAAUGGGGCUGCAGUGCUGCUCGAAUUGUCACCAUACCCCCUAGAAUAAACUGCCUUUUGAUGACCGGGACGAAUUGAGAGAAAUCAUAACCGACAGAUAUGGGGCAGACAGUU